Molecule: ribosomal RNA, 421 nt
Filed under: uncultured bacterium
Lineage: Bacteria
Description: bacterial SSU rRNA
Rfam family: Bacterial small subunit ribosomal RNA
Source: RNAcentral
UAAGGAAUAUUGGUCAAUGGACGCAAGUCUGAACCAGCCAUGCCGCGUGAAGGAUGAAGGUCCUCUGGAUUGUAAACUUCUUUUAUCUGGGACGAAAACGGGAUUUUUAUCUCAAUUGACGGUACCAGAGGAAUAAGCACCGGCUAACUCCGAGCCAGCAGCCGCGGUAAUACGGAGGGUGCGAGCGUUAUCCGGAUUUACUGGGUUUAAAGGGUGCGUAGGUGGGCUUAUAAGUCAGUGGUGAAAUCUCCGAGCUUAACUUGGAAACUGCCGGUGAUACUAUAGGUCUUGAAUUAUCUGGAGGUAAGCGGAAUAUGUCAUGUAGCGGUGAAAUGCUUAGAUAUGACAUAGAACACCAAUUGCGAAGGCAGCUUACUACAUAUAAAUUGACGCUGAGGCACGAAAGCGUGGGGAUCAAACG